AACGGCCGUACCAUGCUGAAUAUAUCGGUUCUCGUUAGAUCACCGAAGUCAAGCAUCAUUGGGCGCGGUCAGUACUUGGGUGGGUGACCACCUGGGAACACUGUGUGCCGUU
RNAcentral lists this ribosomal RNA (112 nucleotides) under Caerostris darwini. Lineage: Eukaryota; Metazoa; Arthropoda; Arachnida; Araneae; Araneidae. The record is from RNAcentral.